ACGAGAAAGUGGAGCAAUCCAUGAGUNCNGUGGCGUACGGGUGAGUAACACGUGACUAACCUACCCUCGAGUGGGGAAUAACCUAGGGAAACCUGGGCUAAUACCGCAUAAUGUCCUCGGACCAAAUGCGCAAGCAGCUUGAGGAGGGGGUCGCGGCCGAUUAGCUAGUUGGCGGGGUAACGGCCCACCAAGGCAAUGAUCGGUAGCCGGCCUGAGAGGGCGCACGGCCACACUGGAACUGAAACACGGUCCAGACUCCUACGGGAGGCAGCAGUGGGGAAUUUUGCGCAAUGGGGGAAACCCUGACGCAGCAACGCCGCGUGGAGGAUGAAGCCCCUUGGGGUGUAAACUCCUUUCGAUCGGGACGAUAAUGACGGUACCGGAUGAAGAAGCACCGGCUAACUCUGUGCCAGCAGCCGCGGUAAUACAGAGGGUGCAAGCGUUGUUCGGAAUUAUUGGGCGUAAAGGGUGCGUAGGCGGUGCGGUAAGUCUGUUGUGAAAUCUCCGGGCUCAACUCGGAGCCUGCAACGGAAACUGCCGUGCUCGAGUAUGGGAGAGGUGAGUGGAAUU
Molecule: ribosomal RNA, 570 nt
Filed under: uncultured bacterium
Lineage: Bacteria
Description: bacterial SSU rRNA
Rfam family: Bacterial small subunit ribosomal RNA
Source: RNAcentral